RNAcentral lists this ribosomal RNA (794 nucleotides) under uncultured Nitrospirales bacterium. RNAcentral describes it as "bacterial SSU rRNA". It matches the Rfam family "Bacterial small subunit ribosomal RNA", at positions 58 to 850 of the family's 1533-position model. The record is from RNAcentral. Lineage: Bacteria; Pseudomonadati; Nitrospirota; Nitrospiria; Nitrospirales.
CAAGUCGAGCGAGAAGGUGUAGCAAUACACUUGUAAAGCGGCGAACGGGUGAGGAAUACAUGGGUAACCUACCAUCGAGUGGGGAAUAACCAGCCGAAAGGUUGGCUAAUACCGCGUACGCCUCCAAAUCUACGGAUUUGAAGGGAAAGCUGCACUGUGAGUGUGGCGCUCAUUGAUGGGCUCAUGUCCUAUCAGCUUGUUGGCAGGGUAACGGCCUACCAAGGCUUUGACGGGUAGCUGGUCUGAGAGGACGAUCAGCCACACUGGCACUGCGACACGGGCCAGACUCCUACGGGAGGCAGCAGUAAGGAAUAUUGCGCAAUGGACGAAAGUCUGACGCAGCGACGCCGCGUGGGGGAUGAAGGUCUUCGGAUUGUAAACCCCUUUCGGGAGGGAAGAUGGAACGAGCAAUCGUUCGGACGGUACCUCCAGAAGCAGCCACGGCCAACUUCGUGCCAGCAGCCGCGGUAAUACGAAGGUGGCAAGCGUUGUUCGGAUUCACUGGGCGUACAGGGUGUGUAGGCGGUUUGGUAAGCCUUCUGUUAAAGCUUCGGGCCCAACCCGGAAAGCGCAGAGGGUACUGCCAGGCUAGAGGGCGGGAGAGGAGCGCGGAAUUCCCGGUGUAGCGGUGAAAUGCGUAGAGAUCGGGAGGAAGGCCGGUGGCGAAGGCGGCGCUCUGGAACGUACCUGACGCUGAGACACGAAAGCGUGGGGAGCAAACAGGAUUAGAUACCCUGGUAGUCCACGCCCUAAACUAUGGAUACUAAGUGUCGGCGGGUUACGCCGGUGCCGCA